CAAUGAUCAACUAUUCUCCGAAUCCCUUCCAAACUUCUUCCGGCCGCGGACGACCCUACUCCGAACUUCUUUCGGACUUUGUCGAUAUCCGAGUUUCUCCGACAAUGAGAUUUCUACAGUAACCAGACUCCAUCCAAGUUUCUACGACAGUCGACCACCUUCCAGUUUCCAACUGAGCUCCUGCGAGAGCCGAACUUCUACUGCAAACGGUCUACUCCAGAUCUCUACUAUAAGCGAAUUCCAUCCGAGCCUCUACUAUAAAUGAAUUCCUUCCGAACUUCUAUUACAGACGGACUUCAGCCGAGCUUCUUCAUAGCCGGAUCCCAAUCGAGCUCCUACAAUGGACGGAUCCCAGACGAGCUUCUACAAUGGGACAGGCCCCACCGGCCAGGUCACCACUCCAAGCUCCCACGACAACCAAUCUUCGAUCGAGCUUCUACAAUAAGCGAUCUCCUUUCAGCCUUCUACAAAAAUCAGACUCCGUCCGAACUUUCAUAACGGAUGGAUAUCGGAUGAGCUUCUACAACGGACGGACUCCAGCAGCUGGAUUUCUACAACGAUCGAUCACCUCCGGUGUCUGCUGAACCUCCCCAGCCAUCAGCCUUCAAUAGUGUCAGCCGGACUUCCACAACGCCAUCCAGACUUCCACAGGAU
This 654-nucleotide long non-coding RNA is filed under the name Elaeis guineensis (African oil palm). RNAcentral describes it as "long non-coding RNA (EGUI_LNC060084)". The record is from RNAcentral. Lineage: Eukaryota; Viridiplantae; Streptophyta; Magnoliopsida; Arecales; Arecaceae.